Ictidomys tridecemlineatus (thirteen-lined ground squirrel) is the source of this 4437-nucleotide non-coding RNA. Lineage: Eukaryota; Metazoa; Chordata; Mammalia; Rodentia; Sciuridae. The record is from RefSeq and is a predicted model, not a curated record.
UUCCAGACCUACAGCCCCUUGAGCCAGGACCAGAGGAGGCACAAGUGGAAGCACAGAGGAGGGAGCCACCAUGAGAUGACAAGAGACCCAGGGCAGCCGGAAGAUGGCAGAGCAGGUACAGGAAGCCACCCUGGACUCUUCACAGCCCAGAAGCAAAGCAGCAAAAGGCCCAGAGGGGACUCCUAGAACUCAAUGAUGGGCAGAACUGAGGUUCUCAGCACUGGUGACCCCACGAAGAAAGCUAAACACUAAUUAUGCAAUGGCUGGAAAUGAAGGCACCAGAAACUUUGGUUCUCUUAGGUUUGGAUCCCUAAGCCAAGUGUGAUCAUAUCAGUCAUCAACCAAACCAGCACAUAUGUGAAGGGGGCUCAUCAAUAGCAUGUCAGGACCGACGGCGGACAUCCCAGUUCUACUGGUUGGAUCAGGAGGCACAACCAGCUCCUGACCUUUCCAGCUUCUCUGACUCACCCUCCUUGGAAGUCUCUCCUGGUUUUACUAUCAUGGUCCUGGGCACUUCUGGGCACUUCUGGGCACUGUGUCCUUCUGCUGAAAUUAUAGCCCCCAGGGACACAGAGUGAAGAGUCUGGCCCCAGGAGCCAGACAGCAUGAGUUCACCUGGCCUGCACCCAGGUCCUCCCAUGACCAGUUGUGUGCCUCCUUCAGUGACAUCUCUCCACUUGGCCCAAGGGAAGGAACUCGCCACCAUUUCUCAUUAGAGGGUUCCUUUGUUUUUUCUUGUUUUUUUGAAAGCAUCAGGUGGCCAUGGAAUGAACCGUUCCUAUUCCAGUAAUAUUCUCCUGCUCCUUGCCUAGUAAUUUUCUUUACUAGGAAAGAAGAAAAGCAGGAGGCCCCUCCAAAUCAAGCACGCUCUACCUAAUGAGGUUGAGCCCCCUGGAUCAUGUCACUUGGGGCAGAGAUGCAGGUCGGGUGGUCCAUAAGGCCACAGAACACUGCUGGGACUUCCCUUGCAAACCUCAUGAGUGUGUCUUUGUCUCUUUCUUAGUGACUUCAUCCUCUGUCUCCAUCUCAAAGUCCUUUGCAUAAAACAGCAGAGAAAGUCAAAGGUGCUGUCUGGGUUUUUUAUGAAUCAUGAGUGAAAGGUCAUGGUCCCUCUCACACAUUUUCAUGUUCUGAAGUCUCCAUAGCAGUCAGUGCUUAGGACUCAAUUGUCAUGCUCAGGUCAUUGUCAUACAAUGUCCAGCUACUGGGCCAGGGUGGAAGUGCCUUUCUCUGAGUGGCCCUCCCUGCUGCUAUUUUACCUUCCUCCUGGGGAGCCAGCUGUGAGCCCCAAACCCAGGUAUCCAUUUUCUAGACAUUGUCCUGUCUCUUUUGUCCUCAUGGACUUGGAGAUGAAGGGACCGCGGCUCUGUAUCCAGAAUCCAUGAAGAAGCCUGAGCCCCUGCUCAUGCUGUCUUGGCCACUGGAUGCCUGGACUCUGCAUGCUCAGAUACACUCUUGCUCAAGUCCUUGCCACCACUGGUCUCUUCACAAUGUUUCUCCCCACGCUGCUGCUCAAUGCCUGGCUUGCUGCUGGAAUAGGUAAAUCAGAUCGAUCGCUCCUCUGUGUAUUUCUUCCUUUCAAGCUAUUUGUACUUUUUCACCUUCAAAGACACACAAUCAAUCAAACAUGAGUGAUUGCUGCAGCAGGUAUCGACCAUUUUUUUUUAAACAUUGAAGGUUUGGAGGAAUCUGCACAGGGCUCUGUAGUAAUGGGUUGGGAAGGACUACCACUCCCAGAGUCGUUUCCUAUGGGCCUCUGAAAAUCUCUGUGCCUGUGUUGAGGAUUCAGCCUGCAUUUGUACUUGCUAACAAUUUUCUUUAAUGUUCCUAGAAGAAUGAAACCGCAGUUUAGAUCAUUUUUAAAACGCAUGUUUGGGGGCAGGCCCUGUGUGUCAGAAACUGGGAAGGGGAGGAGUUCUAGGCUGUUUCUUCCCCAUAAUGGAACUCACUGGAGAGCUAAGGAUAGGGAUCUGAAAGUGCUUAUUUGAAAGUAAGUUUCUUAAGGGAAAUUGUGAUGCAACCUGUCACCCGUGCUGCUUUGAGGAUGUGUCCCUGGGAAACCUAGUCUGUGGAAACUGUAUGCCUCUGUAUUAUAGUAAGAAAACUAAAGUGUGCCCAUGGGUGAAGACACAUAAUCACCCCAAAGCAAAAUGGGAAGCCCCAGCAGUCCUGGGCUGCCCGCGGCUCCACACUGCAGCGGGAGACCUCCAUCACAUAUUCCUGAUUUCCUUGGCUGGUUUCCUACUGACUAAAAAUGGCUCAACGGCUUCAAGCCUCACAUCCUUCCAGGAGAGCAGGAAGAGGAGGGAAAACAGAGGGAUUUCCACCCACCUCUGGCCUCUCUCCCUUCUCAUGGAACUCCCCUGAAGCUGCCCAAAAUUUUUUCAUGGAUCAUUGACAGAAUCAGGUGCAUAGACUCCCCUAGACCAAGCACAGGCAGACGCCAUUGCAAUUAGCCCAAAGGGAGAGACCAAAUGCGAUUCAUAUUUGCAGCUUAGGGACAGAGGUAUCUUCUUUGGACACCUGAAUAAUGUUAGGGUGCUGUUUGUGUGGGAAAAUGAAAUAAGUGCUACAUAAGUGAUCCUUGUUAUUUCAUUACAGUGUUGCCAUAUGGCCCCAACCUCAUUAGGGGGAGUUCCAGAGCCUUCCUCUUGCCUCUUCCUCCUACAUCAAAUUUCUCAACAACUUGGUUUAAUAGAGUCCAACAGAAAUCCGUUUGCCUUUCAAUGCUAAGAAGGAAAGAAAUGGCCUCCCAUCAGUCUCCUGCUGCCACUGCUCCAUGCUGACCCCAGUGUCACUGUCCAACUGUGGCCAAUGACAAUCUGCAGCUGCAAUGCUCUGUGGCUGCAGGACCCUUGCUGGGCAUGAGGUUAGACUGCUUUGUGGUUCAUGUCUAGAUAUUGCUUGAGCGGGGCACCACCUGGUACCCUGCACCAGCCAUGGGAAAGCAACCUCGCUGUGGCCUGGGGUUGAGCUCAUUUGUCAUCCUCGGCCUACUCUGUUCACAGGUUCCUUUAUUUUAUGAAAUUAAUUGUCCUUGCCUCUUCCUUGAUCUUGACCUUCUGGUCCUUCUUUAUCUGUCUGUUUUGAACUCCAAAUCUGAGAGGUCAGGACCCAGGGGAUCCACUUUCACUUCCAGGGGGCAUUAGAUCCAUUUUGCAAAAUAAUGCCCUCUUUCCAGCAGCCAUCUUGUGCAUGGUGGAGGAAUAGGUAAGACCUCUUGCUAAUCCAGUGGAAUACAAGCACUGUCAUCAAAGGAUCCUUCUAUUUUUUUUGUAGCCUUCUCCAUGGCAACUGGAUGAUAGCAGGAGCCCAGAGUUUUAAAUGAUGGUGAUGGUUAUCACCAUCAGAACUUGCUGUUUGAGGCAAUGAACAUUUAUAUAAUUAAAAGUGAAAAUCUAAAAGAAGUUUUCCUUGGACAAGAAGAUGCCAGCAGAUUGGUUAUCUCCCUGCAUGACCAAAAUGUAUCAGACAGCUUUCUGUUACUGCAACAACUACCUGAGAUAACCAACUUGUGAAGAAAAAAGGUUUAUUUUGGCUCACAGUUUUGGAGGCUUCAGCUCAUAAUCAACAGACCCCACUGUCUUUGAAAAUGUGGUGAGGAGGGACACCAUGAAGGCAGUAAAACCACUCCCCUCAUGGCCACAGAGCAAGAGAGGAAGGAAAGCAAGCAAAGUCUAACUACCCACUUCUGGUGCAUGUCCCUAACAACCUAGAACCUCCCGCUAGACCCCACAUCCCAAAGUUUCUACCAUCUCCCAAUAGCACCAAGAUGGGGACUAUGGCUGUGACACAGGGGCCUCUGUGGGACAUUUAAGAUCCAAAUGAUGGCAAAGAAUGAGCCUGGAGCUGUUGUAAAAGUGCCCCUCGUGGGCGUCACCUCUUACCUUAGUCUUAACCACCCCAUUACACACCGAGGGGCCUCUGAACAGAGGGGCUCUGCUCCCUCAAGUCAGCCCUCCAGGGUCUCCCUGGCCGAGCCAUCUCCUCUUGGAAGCUCAGGAGUCCUGGCCAUUGUGGGGGAUGCAGUACCUGAGUCCGGCUGCUCUUAGGGACUGUCACUGUAGGGAUCAGGUCUUUUCUUCUUCAGAAAGUGGGGACCCCCCUGCACCCUGCAAGCUGCUGUUGCCUCCAUCGGACCCCAUUCCCACCAUUCCUGCAUGGCCUGUUCUGCCAAUGUUAGAGCGGGGGUCUCCUUUGGAGGUCUCCCUCCUCCCCAUCAGUGGUUGUGACCAUGUGUGCAGUGCAGUGUCAGGGUCCAGAGAGUGCCUUCAGCAACACCUAACUCCACAUCGCUCCAUCGCUUCUGAAAACUCAGCUGUUUUGGUGGCUCCUGUUCAGAUGAAAAUACGUUGGUCCCUCUGAUCCAGGGCUCCACACUCAUGGAGUCUACCAACCAGGAAGUGAAAAUGUUUGGGGAAAAGAAUCCAUUCUAAA